UUGACCUCGGAUCAGGUAGGAAUACCCGCUGAACUUAAGCAUAUAU
This 46-nucleotide ribosomal RNA is filed under the name Sarcostroma restionis. Its description in RNAcentral is "partial 28S ribosomal RNA". Lineage: Eukaryota; Fungi; Ascomycota; Sordariomycetes; Amphisphaeriales; Sporocadaceae. The record is from RNAcentral.